UACGUAGGGUGCAAGCGUUAAUCGGAAUUACUGGGCGUAAAGCGUGCGCAGGCGGUUGUGUAAGACAGAUGUGAAAUCCCCGGGCUCAACCUGGGAACUGCAUUUGUGACUGCACGGCUGGAGUGCGGCAGAGGGGGAUGGAAUUCCGCGUGUAGCAGUGAAAUGCGUAGAGAUGCGGAGGAACACCGAUGGCGAAGGCAGCCCCCUGGGCCAAUACUGACGCUCAGGCACGAAAGCGUGGGGAGCAAACAGG
This 253-nucleotide ribosomal RNA is filed under the name uncultured bacterium. Its description in RNAcentral is "partial 16S ribosomal RNA". It matches the Rfam family "Bacterial small subunit ribosomal RNA", at positions 524 to 776 of the family's 1533-position model. The record is from RNAcentral.